GAUAAAAGGUACUCCGGGGAUAACAGGCUGAUACCGCCCAAGAGUUCAUAUCGACGGCGGUGUUUGGCACCUCGAUGUCGGCUCAUCACAUCCUGGGGCUGAAGUAGGUCCCAAGGGUAUGGCUGUUCGCCAUUUAAAGUGGUACGCGAGCUGGGUUUAGAACGUCGUGAGACAGUUCGGUCCCUAUCUGCCGUGGGCGCUGGAGAACUGAGGGGGGCUGCUCCUAGUACGAGAGGACCGGAGUGGACGCAUCACUGGUGUUCGGGUUGUCAUGCCAAUGGCACUGCCCGGUAGCUAAAUGCGGAAGAGAUAAGUGCUGAAAGCAUCUAAGCACGAAACUUGCCCCGAGAUGAGUUCUCCCUGACCCUUUAAGGGUCCUGAAGGAACGUUGAAGACGACGACGUUGAUAGGCCGGGUGUGUAAGCGCAGCGAUGCGUUGAGCUAACCGGUACUAAUGAACCGUGAGG
Molecule: ribosomal RNA, 467 nt
Filed under: Escherichia coli
Lineage: Bacteria; Pseudomonadati; Pseudomonadota; Gammaproteobacteria; Enterobacterales; Enterobacteriaceae
Also listed under: 2 other names
Description: partial 23S ribosomal RNA
Rfam family: Bacterial large subunit ribosomal RNA
Source: RNAcentral